RNAcentral lists this ribosomal RNA (496 nucleotides) under uncultured bacterium. RNAcentral describes it as "partial 16S ribosomal RNA". It matches the Rfam family "Bacterial small subunit ribosomal RNA", at positions 29 to 506 of the family's 1533-position model. The record is from RNAcentral.
UAUUAACGCUGGCGGCGUGCCUAAUACAUGCAAGUCGAGCGAACAGACGAGGAGCUUGCUCCUCUGACGUUAGCGGCGGACGGGUGAGUAACACGUGGAUAACCUACCUAUAAGACUGGGAUAACUUCGGGAAACCGGAGCUAAUACCGGAUAAUAUAUUGAACCGCAUGGUUCAAUAGUGAAAGACGGUUUUGCUGUCACUUAUAGAUGGAUCCGCGCCGCAUUAGCUAGUUGGUAAGGUAACGGCUUACCAAGGCAACGAUGCGUAGCCGACCUGAGAGGGUGAUCGGCCACACUGGAACUGAGACACGGUCCAGACUCCUACGGGAGGCAGCAGUAGGGAAUCUUCCGCAAUGGGCGAAAGCCUGACGGAGCAACGCCGCGUGAGUGAUGAAGGUCUUCGGAUCGUAAAACUCUGUUAUUAGGGAAGAACAAAUGUGUAAGUAACUAUGCACGUCAUGACGGUACCUAAUCAGAAAGCCACGGCUAACUACGU